AUAUUGCGCAAUGGAGGGAACUCUGACGCAGCUACGCCGCGUGAGCGUGGAAGGUCUUCGGAUCGUAAAGCUCUGUCCUUGGGGAAGAAGGUCUUCGGAAUUGAAGGUACCUAAUGUGGAAGCCCCGGCUAACUACGUGCCAGCAGCAGCGGUAAUACGUAGGUGGCAAGCGUUGUCCGGAAUUAUUGGGCGUAAAGCGCGCGCAGCCGGUCUUUUAAGUCUGAUGUGAAAGCCCCAGGCUCAACCGGGGAGGGUCAUUGGAAACUGGGAGACUUGAGUGCAGAAGAGGAGAGUGGAAUUCCAUGUGUAGCGGUGAAAUGCGUAGAGAUAUGGAGGAACACCAGUGGCGAAGGCGACUCUCUGGUCUGUAACUGACGCUGAGGCGCGAAAGCGUGGGGAGCAAAC
This 405-nucleotide ribosomal RNA is filed under the name uncultured bacterium. RNAcentral's name for it is "partial 16S ribosomal RNA". It matches the Rfam family "Bacterial small subunit ribosomal RNA", at positions 361 to 773 of the family's 1533-position model. The record is from RNAcentral.